GGGGUGCUAGUCCAAAGAAGACAGUUGAUUUCGACUCAACUAAUUAUGGUUUAAACCCAUAGCACCUCU
Molecule: transfer RNA, 69 nt
Filed under: Amolops tuberodepressus
Lineage: Eukaryota; Metazoa; Chordata; Amphibia; Anura; Ranidae
Description: tRNA-Arg
Rfam family: tRNA
About the family: Transfer RNA (tRNA) molecules are approximately 80 nucleotides in length. Their secondary structure includes four short double-helical elements and three loops (D, anti-codon, and T loops).
Source: RNAcentral